GUGGGGAAAAUUGGACAAUGGGGGGAACCCUGAUCCAGCCAUGCCGCGUGUGUGAAGAAGGCCUUUUGGUUGUAAAGCACUUUAAGCGAGGAGGAGGCUACCGAGAUUAAUACUCUUGGAUAGUGGACGUUACUCGCAGAAUAAGCACCGGCUAACUCUGUGCCAGCAGCCGCGGUAAUACAGAGGGUGCAAGCGUUAAUCGGAUUUACUGGGCGUAAAGCGCGCGUAGGUGGCCAAUUAAGUCAAAUGUGAAAUCCCCGAGCUUAACUUGGGAAUUGCAUUCGAUACUGGUUGGCUAGAGUAUGGGAGAGGAUGGUAGAAUUCCAGGUGUAGCGGUGAAAUGCGUAGAGAUCUGGAGGAAUACCGAUGGCGAAGGCAGCCAUCUGGCCUAAUACUGACACUGAGGUGCGAAAGCAUGGGGAGCAAACAGGAUUAGAUACCCGUGUAGUCC
This 451-nucleotide ribosomal RNA is filed under the name uncultured bacterium. Its description in RNAcentral is "partial 16S ribosomal RNA". It matches the Rfam family "Bacterial small subunit ribosomal RNA", at positions 354 to 796 of the family's 1533-position model. The record is from RNAcentral.